GAUGAACGCUGACAGGAUGCUUAACACAUGCAAGUCUACUUGAAUUUGGGUUUUUUAACUUAGAUUUGGGUGGCGGACGGGUGAGUAACGCGUAAAGAACUUGCCUCACAGCUAGGGACAACAUUUGGAAACGAAUGCUAAUACCUGAUAUUAUGAUUAUAAGGCAUCUUAGAAUUAUGAAAGCUAUAUGCGCUGUGAGAGAGCUUUGCGUCCCAUUAGCUAGUUGGAGAGGUAACGGCUCACCAAGGCGAUGAUGGGUAGCCGGCCUGAGAGGGUGAACGGCCACAAGGGGACUGAGACACGGCCCUUACUCCUACGGGAGGCAGCAGUGGGGAAUAUUGGACAAUGGACCAAGAGUCUGAUCCAGCAAUUCUGUGUGCACGAUGACGUUUUUCGGAAUGUAAAGUGCUUUCAGUUGGGAAGAAAAAAAUGACGGUACCAACAGAAGAAGUGACGGCUAAAUACGUG
Molecule: ribosomal RNA, 468 nt
Filed under: uncultured bacterium
Lineage: Bacteria
Description: partial 16S ribosomal RNA
Rfam family: Bacterial small subunit ribosomal RNA
Source: RNAcentral